This 1236-nucleotide ribosomal RNA is filed under the name Rhagovelia amazonensis. Its description in RNAcentral is "partial 16S ribosomal RNA". The stretch from base 981 to 1140 matches the Rfam family "Archaeal large subunit ribosomal RNA", at positions 2544 to 2703 of the family's 2987-position model. The record is from RNAcentral. Lineage: Eukaryota; Metazoa; Arthropoda; Insecta; Hemiptera; Veliidae.
AAUUUUUUUUUUAUUUUUUAAUAAAAAUAUUUUAUUUUUUAGUAUUUUGAAAAAAUAUUUUUUAAUAAUAGUUUAUUUAACUGUGAAGGAUAAUUAUUUAUUUUUAUAGAAGUAGUUUUUUUAACGUACCUUUUGCAUCAGGGUUUAUUAAUUUAAAUUAAAAAUUUAUUUUUCUCGAAAUCAUAAGUUUAAAAUUAAAAUGUUUUUUAUUGUAAUAUAUUUAUAUAUAAUUUUAUUUUGGAAGUGAUAUGCUUUUCAUUUAUGAUUAUAUCUAGUUUUUUAAUAAUUAAAUUUAAUUUAGUUUAUAUAAGUUUUUUUUAUUUUAAUUUUUCUUAAUUUAUAUAAUUAAAUCAAUUAGGGAUAAGCUUGAUUGAUUUUUUAAAAGGAUUUUUUUUAAAUUUUUUAUAGGAUUGAUAAUUUCCAUUUUUAUUUUUUUAUAAUUAUUUUUUUAUUUAAAAGAUUUUUUUUAUUUUAAUUUUUUAUUAAAGUGUUAAUAUUAAUUUUUUUUAUUUUUAAUAAUGAUAAAAUUAGUAAUUUUUAUAAUUUUAAUAUAGGAACUCGGCAAAAUUAAUUUUCACCUGUUUAUCAAAAACAUGGUUUUUUGAUUUUAAUUUAAAAUCAGACCUGCCCGUUGAUUUAAAAAAUUGAAAGGCUGCGGUAUUUUAACUGUACGAAGGUAGCAUAAUCACUUGUCUUUUAAUUGAAGGCUAGAAUGAAUGGUUUGAUGAAAAAUUUUCUUUCUUUAUUUAAUUUUUUUGAAUUUAAUUUUUUAAUUAAAAAGUUGAAAUUUUUUUAUAGGACGAGAAGACCCUGUAGAAAUUUAUUUUUUAUAUAAGGUUUUUUUUUUAGUUUUUAAAAUAUUAUUUUAGAAUAAAUAAUUUUGUUGGGGUGACAGUAAAAUUUUUAUAACUUUUAUUUUAUAUUUCAUUAAUUUAUGUUAUGAUCCAGUUUUAUUGAUUAUAAGAUUAAUUUACCUCAGGGAUAACAGCGUAAUUUUUUCGGAGAGUCCUUAUCGAUGAAUAAGUUUGCGACCUCGAUGUUGAAUUAAGAUUAAUUUUGGGUGUAGCUUUUCAAAGUUUUUGGUCUGUUCGACCAUUAAAUUCUUACAUGAUUUGAGUUCAAACCGGUGUGAGCCAGGUUGGUUUCUAUCCUUAUUUUUUUUAUAAUUUAGUACGAAAGGACCAAUUAUAACAAUUAAAUUGUUUUUUAGAAUAAUAUUAAAAAAAAAAAAAAAAA